GACGAACGCUGGCAGCGUGCUUAACACAUGCAAGUCGAACGGAAAGGCCCUGCUUUUGUGGGGUGCUCGAGUGGCGAACGGGUGAGUAACACGUGAGUAACCUGCCCUUGACUUUGGGAUAACUUCAGGAAACUGGGGCUAAUACCGGAUAGGAGCUCCUGCUGCAUGGUGGGGGUUGGAAAGUUUCGGCGGUUGGGGAUGGACUCGCGGCUUAUCAGCUUGUUGGUGGGGUAGUGGCUUACUAAGGCUUUGACGGGUAGCCGGCCUGAGAGGGUGACCGGCCACAUUGGGACUGAGAUACGGCCCAGACUCCUACGGGAGGCAGCAGUGGGGAAUAUUGCACAAUGGGCGGAAGCCUGAUGCAGCAACGCCGCGUGCGGGAUGACGGCCUUCGGGUUGUAAACCGCUUUCGCCUGUGACGAAGCGUGAGUGACGGUAAUGGGUAAAGAAGCACCGGCUAACUACGUG
This 468-nucleotide ribosomal RNA is filed under the name uncultured bacterium. RNAcentral describes it as "partial 16S ribosomal RNA". It matches the Rfam family "Bacterial small subunit ribosomal RNA", at positions 28 to 507 of the family's 1533-position model. The record is from RNAcentral.